This 514-nucleotide ribosomal RNA is filed under the name uncultured bacterium. RNAcentral describes it as "partial 16S ribosomal RNA". It matches the Rfam family "Bacterial small subunit ribosomal RNA", at positions 28 to 523 of the family's 1533-position model. The record is from RNAcentral.
GAUGAACGCUGGCGGCGUGCCUAAUACAUGCAAGUCGAGCGAACAGAUGAGAAGCUUGCUCCUCUGAUGUUAGCGGCGGACGGGUGAGUAACACGUGGGUAACCUACCUAUAAGACUGGGAUAACUCCGGGAAACCGGGGCUAAUACCGGAUAAUAUUUUGAACCGCAUGGUUAAACAGUGAAAGAAGGUUUCGGCUGUAAAUUAUAGAUGGACCCGCGCCGUAUUAGCUAGUUGGUAAGGUAACGGCUUACCAAGGCGACGAUACGUAGCCGACCUGAGAGGGUGAUCGGCCACACUGGAACUGAGACACGGUCCAGACUCCUACGGGAGGCAGCAGUAGGGAAUCUUCCGCAAUGGGCGAAAGCCUGACGGAGCAACGCCGCGUGAGUGAUGAAGGUCUUCGGAUCGUAAAACUCUGUUGUUAGGGAAGAACAAAUUUGUUAGUAACUGAACAAGUCUUGACGGUACCUAACCAGAAAGCCACGGCUAACUACGUGCCAGCAGCCGCCGUAA